ACUGCUCAGUAACACGUGGACAACCUGCCCUUAGGUUGGGUAUAAACCCGGGAAACUGGGUAUAAUACCCGAUAGGUCUCGAUUGCUGGAAUGCAUCGAGAUUUAAAGCUCCGGCGCCUAAGGAUGGGUCUGCGGCCUAUCAGGUAGUAGUGGGUGUAGCGUACCUACUAGCCUACGACGGGUACGGGUUGUGAGAGCAAGAGCCCGGAGAUGGAUUCUGAGACACGAAUCCAGGCCCUACGGGGUGCAGCAGGCGCGAAAACUUUACAAUGCUGGCAACAGCGAUAAGGGAACCUCGAGUGCCAGGUUACAAAUCUGGCUGUCGAGAUGCCUAAAAAGCAUUUCAUAGCAAGGGCCGGGCAAGACCGGUGCCAGCCGCCGCGGUAACACCGGCGGCUCGAGUGGUAACCGUUAUUAUUGGGUCUAAAGGGUCUGUAGCCGGCCGGAUAGGUCUCUUGAGAAAUCUGGCAGCUUAACUGUCAGGCUUUCAGGAGAUACUGUCUGGCUCGAGGCCGGGAGAGGUGAGAGGUACUUCAGGGGUAGGGGUGAAAUCUUGUAAUCCUUGAAGGACCACCAGUGGCGAAGGCGUCUCACCAGAACGGACCUGACGGCAAGGGACGAAAGCUAGGGGCACGAACCGGAUUAGAUACCCGGGUAGUCCUAGCCGUAAACGAUACUCGCUAGGUGUCGGCCACGGUGCGACCGUUGUCGGUGCCGUAGGGAAGCCGUGAAGCGAGCCACCUGGGAAGUACGGCCGCAAGGCUGAAACUUAAAGGAAUUGGCGGGGGAGCACCACAACGGGUGGAGCUUGCGGUUUAAUUGGAUUCAACGCCGGAAAUCUUACCGGGACCGACAGCAAUAUGAAGGCCAGGCUGAAGACUUUGCCGGAUUAGCUGAGAGGUGGUGCAUGGCCGUCGUCAGUUCGUACUGUGAAGCAUCCUGUUAAGUCAGGCAACGAGCGAGACCCGCACC
This 972-nucleotide ribosomal RNA is filed under the name uncultured archaeon. RNAcentral describes it as "bacterial SSU rRNA". It matches the Rfam family "Archaeal small subunit ribosomal RNA", at positions 85 to 1058 of the family's 1478-position model. The record is from RNAcentral.